This 228-nucleotide long non-coding RNA is filed under the name Gossypium barbadense (sea-island cotton). RNAcentral describes it as "long non-coding RNA (GBAR_LNC004971)". The record is from RNAcentral. Lineage: Eukaryota; Viridiplantae; Streptophyta; Magnoliopsida; Malvales; Malvaceae.
GCCAAUUAAGGUCUCAGAGGUUCAUAAUUGAGAUAUUUGAUUAUAUGAUUCAGUGGUUGAGGCAAAGUGAUUUUGAAUUCAAAGUCCAUAUCAUGCUUGCUGAAUGAGAAGCAACCAUUAAUGGCAUUAUUAAGAGCUAACCAUAGUUUCUUUUAUCUUUUUCUUUACAAUUAACCAUUUGUAUAGGAGAAAGAGUAUGAAAUUAGCCCUCUUCACCAGAUGUGACAG